RNAcentral lists this ribosomal RNA (119 nucleotides) under Pteropus alecto (black flying fox). Lineage: Eukaryota; Metazoa; Chordata; Mammalia; Chiroptera; Pteropodidae. The record is from RNAcentral.
GUCUACGGCCAUGCCACCCUGAACGUGUCCAGUGUUGUCUGAUCUUGGAAGCUAAGCAGGAUCAGGCCUCUUUAGUACUUGUAUGGGAGACCACCUAGGAAUACCAAGUGCUGUAGGCA